AGACCCCGCCGCCUCUUCGAUUUUCCAAUCCCCACUUCCCCGUCUCCUCCACGGACCCCCAAAAAAUCCCAAAUUGCCGGCGGAACCCUAGGUCUGGUGCUAGUGCUACUGCCACCACCUCCGGCGGAAUCGGCGGCGGCUCCUCCCCGGCGCCGCACCUCGGAGGUUGCGCUGCUCGGAGCGUCGCCCGUCGCGUCCUUCCUCCGGCUACACCUUCAGGAUUCGCGCCGCUCUGGUCCGAGGGCUUUGGACCGUCCUCUUACCUCUGUGCACAUGUGUUAUCCGUUCAUGUGCAAAGCAGGACGUUUACACCAUCAACGGGUGUCAGACAUGGACUCUUCCACCCUCCUUUGCCAGUGUUGUGUCAUGCUCGAGCACGCCAUCAACUUGUGCCGGACACGGACUCCACAUGAACUCCCUCCUUUGCCACAUAAUAGGCAUCGAGUGCUCUAAGGAAGCAUCCAAUCUCGCUGUUCUACCAACUUCGCCGGAACACCGACCGCCGGUGCUCCACCUGAGGUUUUAUUGCAGACCAUGCUGUAGAGUCGCACAAACCGCUAGUGCUGCUUUUGCUUUGUGACAUUUUCAGAUCCACAGAUAGAUCCGCUGAUGGAUUUAAGUUUUCAUUCACCAACUACUCAAUUUCCUCGGAGAUGAGGAUCGUUCUGUAGCUCAUGCGGAUCCAUCAGCAUGGAGAAGUUCGAUGAUUUUAAGGUUGGUGACUGGGUUACAGUCAAAGCAACAGUCCCGUCCUGAAAAUAGCCAUGAUACAGCCGAUGAAGUUAGGAUAGUUGCGAUUCAGGUUUGUGUGGAAAGUAAGCUGGUUUGCUCUACCCACCAUGACUCAUUUAUUCUGUGCAAUGUGACAUUUUCCUGGGCCUUCUGUUUGCAGUGUGUCACAUACAAAGAGAAGAUUAAGAGACUAAUUUCUUAAUGAUUUU
Molecule: long non-coding RNA, 941 nt
Organism: Triticum dicoccoides
Lineage: Eukaryota; Viridiplantae; Streptophyta; Magnoliopsida; Poales; Poaceae
Exons: 6
Source: RefSeq, a predicted model, not a curated record